CAGUCGCCGCGGGAAUACGAAGGGUGCAAGCGUUAAUCGGAAUUACUGGGCGUAAAGGGCGUGUAGGCGGCCUGGGGCGUCCCAUGUGAAAGGCCACGGCUCAACCGUGGUGGAGCGUGGGAUACGCUCAGGCUAGAGGGUGGGAGAGGGUGGUGGAAUUCCCGGAGUAGCGGUGAAAUGCGCAGAUACCGGGAGGAACGCCGAUGGCGAAGGCAGCCACCUGGUCCACUUCUGACGCUGAGGCGCGAAAGCGUGGGGAGCAAACCGGAUUAGAUACCCCCGUAGUCCCUGUCUCUUAUAC
This 301-nucleotide ribosomal RNA is filed under the name uncultured bacterium. Its description in RNAcentral is "partial 16S ribosomal RNA". It matches the Rfam family "Bacterial small subunit ribosomal RNA", at positions 509 to 807 of the family's 1533-position model. The record is from RNAcentral.